This is a non-coding RNA of Phoenix dactylifera (date palm), 1000 nucleotides long. NCBI's taxonomy places the organism in Eukaryota, Viridiplantae, Streptophyta, Magnoliopsida, Arecales, Arecaceae. The record is from RefSeq and is a predicted model, not a curated record.
AUUGGUUUAUCUCAGUUGAAAUGACAGUUUUGAGGAUUUUUCAGAUGUAUCAGUAGUAUUACAAGAACAAUAGCAUGGGUUCGAAUCCUUGGACAGCCACAUCAUGCGAAAAAAAAAAAAAAAAAAAAAUCAAAGGAAUCAAUGAUUAGGAUUUCUCCCAGUUCACCCCUUCUAGAACCGCAGAUCGUCGGGAUCAUAACUGGGUAAUGUAGUUUAUCAGUAGUUCUACAAUAUAUCAGCUAUAGCAUGUCAAGCCAUUAUGGAAAUAUUGGCUGUUUCAGAGUAGAAGAGUGAGACUAUUACAGCCACAUAACAAUACAAGUAUCAUGAAAUUAUAGAAUGGACAAAAUAUGUUAGCCAUGGGUUUGUUUCUAAUAUUUAGCUACUAUAAGGAGUUUAUUUAUGAAUAAUUUUGUUGUUGUGACGAGUUCUCUUUUUCUAAUAUUUCUUAGAAGAUGGUGUGAUCUCCUGCUCUAUUUGGUUGUUUUACCUUCAGGUGAAAGAGAGGAUUGUUUUCCCUGAACUUUGUCUUGUUGGAGUUGAUGUUUGAACGAAGUGAAUACCCUUGAUCACUCUUCUUCAUUCCCAAAGAGGAUCAUCGAGUUCCUCAGUAAAAUAUAACAUCGACGCUCGUACAAAAUUUCUUUGUUCGACAUUUCCUUUCGCUGGUCGUGCUAUAUCAAAUCCUGAGUUCAGUGUGACCAGCACAAACAAUAAAAAUAAUUGAAAGGCAUCGAUAUGGCGAGACCCACAUGAAUGGCAGGUGACUAGUGGGUCCUUCCUAUGUGCAGGAAACUAAGAGCUAGAGGACAUGACAAGGUGGCAGAUUUGCUCUUUCUUUGUGAACAGAAAGGAAGCAAAUUAAUGCAUCAUAACUAUUCUCAUGUCUUGAUAAAAAUGGCUUUAUUGGACAUGUGGCUUUAGUUCCUCAUUGUCUAGAAAAAUUGCAAUUGAUAACACCUUGCUAGAAAUGCUUUUGCUGCAAAAAUUAUUGCAUUCA